This 511-nucleotide ribosomal RNA is filed under the name uncultured bacterium. Its description in RNAcentral is "bacterial SSU rRNA". It matches the Rfam family "Bacterial small subunit ribosomal RNA", at positions 28 to 496 of the family's 1533-position model. The record is from RNAcentral.
GACGAACGCUGGCGGCGUGCCUAAUACAUGCAAGUCGAACGCACUCUCGUUUAGAUUGAAGGAGCUUGCUCCUGAUUGAUAAACAUUUGAGUGAGUGGCGGACGGGUGAGUAACACGUGGGUAACCUGCCCUAAAGUGGGGGAUAACAUUUGGAAACAGAUGCUAAUACCGCAUAAAACCUAACACCGCAUGGUGUAGGGUUGAAAGAUGGUUUCGGCUAUCACUUUAGGAUGGACCCGCGGUGCAUUAGUUAGUUGGUGAGGUAAAGGCUCACCAAGACCGUGAUGCAUAGCCGACCUGAGAGGGUAAUCGGCCACACUGGGACUGAGACACGGCCCAGACUCCUACGGGAGGCAGCAGUAGGGAAUCUUCCACAAUGGACGAAAGUCUGAUGGAGCAACGCCGCGUGAGUGAAGAAGGUUUUCGGAUCGUAAAACUCUGUUGUUGGAGAAGAAUGUAUCUGAUAGUAACUGAUCAGGUAGUGACGGUAUCCAACCAGAAAACGCCACGG